This 261-nucleotide ribosomal RNA is filed under the name uncultured archaeon. RNAcentral describes it as "partial 16S ribosomal RNA". It matches the Rfam family "Archaeal small subunit ribosomal RNA", at positions 748 to 1009 of the family's 1478-position model. The record is from RNAcentral.
CAGCCGUAAACAAUGCUCGCUAGGUGUCAGGCAUGGCGCGACCGUGUCUGGUGCCGCAGGGAAGCCGUGAAGCGAGCCACCUGGGAAGUACGGCCGCAAGGCUGAAACUUAAAGGAAUUGGCGGGGGAGCACAACAACGGGUGGAGCCUGCGGUUUAAUUGGACUCAACGCCGGACAACUCACCGGGGACGACAGCAAUAUGUAGGCCAGGCUGAAGACCUUGCCUGAAUCGCUGAGAGGAGGUGCAUGGCGUAGACGUCU